Long non-coding RNA from Etheostoma spectabile (orangethroat darter), 1380 nucleotides. RefSeq lists it as uncharacterized. The record is from RefSeq and is a predicted model, not a curated record. NCBI's taxonomy places the organism in Eukaryota, Metazoa, Chordata, Actinopteri, Perciformes, Percidae. The transcript has 2 exons.
UUUUGUGUUUUUUAGGGGAUAGCUGCACGGGUGUGUGCUCCGCCAGCCCCCACAGCAGAGGAGAGAAGACGACAGUAAGCAUGAGCAAUGUCGUUUACCCCUCCCUCCUCCUCCUCCCCUCUACCUCCCUCCCCUUUCAUUCUCCUUCAUUGCCACAGCCAUCAGAAUCCGUCCUCCCUCCCUCGCCAUCAUUCUGCUUGGUUAUGCAAUGCACAUUCCUCCCACGGAGACUAACUGGUGUUGGAGACCUACCGUAACACUGCUGUCACUGGCAGUAGAUGUAGAUCCAUUUUGCCAUGGCGACAGUCUGCUGCUGCCGUUGCCUCUCUACAGACGUCUGCUCCAUGGGAUUUUACAGCUUUUCCUCCUCUUCUGGAAUAUCAAAUGCCAGACUCGACUAACUCAGGGACGUGCCCAUUCUGACCUAGAUCAGCGGAGGCUGGGUGUCACCGAGACACUAUCAACUAAUCCUACAGACAUAAUCAUGCACAGUGUUGGCAUGGGGGCUUCAAUGAUGGGCAAAGGCUUUUUUGAAAGGCACUAAUUGCACUGUUCCCCAGAAGAGUAGGAGGCAAGCGGAAGGGACACUACAGAACGUGGGGGUGUGUAGAUUUACUGAUACGCUGGGGAGGGAGGCAGAGGCGUUGUGUGGAGGAGUUUCGGAAAAGGAGUGACAGGGAACUCAAGAGAAAAAGUAGAAAGAAAGGAUGGGAGGAACGGUAGGGAGGCUGGAGGGGGCAAAUGGGGCGAGGGUAUCUCCUCGCCCCUCAAAAGGGGCUGCUUGUGCUUUAGCAGCAGAAAUGCAAAGCCACUGAACAGACUGCAAAGACUUGUGAGGGGGAACUUAAUCAAAAGGGAAGUUGGGGGGGUGGGUUGCUAAACCUGGGAGGUGGCGCUAGUGACUGGAGGAGUGACACAAGAAGGUUUUCACUGGAAGCGCUGCUGAGCACGGCAAAGUCACCGUGGCACUGCUACCUCCUAUUCCUCUCUCCGUCACUUUGUCUGUCGCUCGCAGGCACUGGGACUGAGGCUACAUAGCCAGUCUCUCCCCCUUCGCCCUCUCUCCACAUGGAGCAUGCCUUUAAAGCCAUGGUUUUCCACUGAAGAUCCCAACAGCAUGCUGGAUUAUGGUGUCUUCCACAUAAGACGCUUUAGGAUAAGUGUCCUCCUGCCAGGUUAGGUGAGCAUCGGGAUCAUGGGCACCACAGUCAUCACCCUUGAGGAUGUGCAGGCACUGGAGGUCAAGGAGGAGCAGGAGGAGUCCAUCUUGGCCAUGUUAGGCAUCAUUGGCACAUUCCUUAACCUCUUUGUAAUUGUUUUUGUUUACAUCUACACCACACUGUGAAGUGCCAAAGCAUAGGAUAAAGUACCGCCAUCAGA